RNAcentral lists this ribosomal RNA (260 nucleotides) under uncultured bacterium. Its description in RNAcentral is "partial 16S ribosomal RNA". It matches the Rfam family "Bacterial small subunit ribosomal RNA", at positions 524 to 777 of the family's 1533-position model. The record is from RNAcentral.
UACGGAGGAUGCAAGCGUUAUCCGGAAUGAUUGGGCGUAAAGCGUCCGCAGGUGGCUGUGUAAGUCUGCUGUCAAAGAGCGAAGCUCAACUUCGUAAAGGCAGUGGAAACUACACGGCUAGAGUGCGUUCGGGGCAGAGGGAAUUCCUGGUGUAGCGGUGAAAAUGCGUAGAGAUCAGGAAGAACACCGGGUGGCGAAGGCGCUCUGCUAGGCCGCAAACUGACACUGAGGGGACGAAAAGCUAGGGGGAGCGAAAUGGG